CAUCCUGGUCCCAAGCAGGUCUGGCUGCCCCAGAAUGAAUUCCAGAAUCCAGGAAGACUCCACUGUGUGAAAGGUGAAAUAAAAUGGAGUCCCUUAUGUCAAGGGGCUUUAAAAUGGAGUUAGAAGGCCUUUCAGGAGAUGCACCUCCUUAUAAUCCUUAGUAGGUAGAACCAUGAAUUUUUUAACUGGAGCAAAUUGCAAAGAUUCCAAGGAUUCUGCAAGAACACCUACAACUUGUUAUAGUAAAGGACUUUUGCUUAUUGAUAGCCCUAGGAACCAAUUAUGUUUAGCCAAGGUUAGCUUUCUGGCACCAACACUGUAGCUGUGGCCCAAGGGUGCAAGAUUCAGCCACUCCCUGCUAAAAAAAUCCAAAGGCAGAGAGACCGGGAGUGAUGAAACAAGAAAGGAAUUUAUUUCAGUGAGACCCAACACUAGGAAGGUAGUGACUAGUGUCCCCAAAACAGUCCCCAAAGUGCUUAAAAUUCUGUAAAGAAAAUGUGGGACAAAGGUUAGUGGAUAUGUUCAUGCCUGUGGUAAAGGUCAAGUCCAUCACUUUCUUGGAGUCAAUCACAUGGAGUCUUUAUUGCUUGAGGGGUAGAUUGGUUUUUGUCAAGGGAUGCUUAGCCAGUGGGGUCUUUUGCCUGAGUUAGAAGAUAAGCUGGGGCGGAAAAAGAUAAGCUGGAAAGAAUUUAAUCAAUUACAAAGUACAGACAGAGGUAAAAAUGGAGUUAGUGGAAGUCCUUUCAACACAAUAAAAAUUUUUGUAGGCAACAAACACAACUUUUUCUUUUUGUCUUUAGAAAUCCCUAAUUUUUGCUCCCUAGUGGGACAUUAUUGGGUUGUUACCCAAAUAUGUGUACCCCGAAUGGCAAUUCUUUGAUCCUAAAUAAAUUCUUUUGCUUAAAUUAUUGCUUCUUGACAAUUUUAGGUUGACAUUAGCAAGACUUGAUGUGGCCUUUCUCUUCCUUUCCCUUUCCUUUCUUCUUUAUGCCUCUGUUUUGUGAAAAUUAAUAAAGGGAAACCUCACUAAAAUGGAGUCAGGAGGUUCAGCCAGAAAAACUCUCAUGCCCUACCACUCCUCCUUAACUGCAGACUCAACAGGAAGAGACAGACCUUGAAGUGGAUAGUAGUUCACUAUUCCAGUAGAAGGAUGGAAGGCAGCCCACCAGCCUAGCCAAUGAGAGCCACAACUGAUGGACAGCCACUAUACUUUCAGCUCCCAGUUUACUCCAGUAAUCUUUGCAUUUAUAAGAACUUUCCCAACUUCCUGCUUUCCUCUAUAAAAGAGCAUUCUCCAACUUUGUUGGGGGAAGCUGCCUAUGGUUUUACCCUGGCUUUCUUGUUCUGGAUUGCAGUUAUCUGUUAUCCUCAAAUAAACCCAGCUUUUGCUGGUAAAAUAGCUAAUAGUUUUAUAUUUAAGGUUAACAGUUUAAAUUCUAAAACAUGCAAACUGUGUCUAUUUUUCCAAUCAAUUUUUACAGAAAAGCAACUUUCCCACCUACACUUUUGAUUCAGUUCCCCUGAGUGGCCACUGUGAGCAAUUUACCGAUUUUUUUCCAGUCACUUCCAUCCAUAGGAAUGCAUACAGGGCUCACAAGGUAAACCACAAUAAUCAUACAGCAGGACCCAAGAUCUAUCUUAGUUUAGGAGGCUGGUGUGAAGCUCUUGUUUUGAUUUUGAUUUUGAGAAUGAAACUGAUAAGGAUGUGCAUCCUGAAGACACUUAUUAUGGAAAUAUAUGCAUACUUGGAAUUAUUUUCCAAGCUAGUGGAAACUCCAGCCAAUUACCCUUUUCAAGGUUACUUUUACGUUAAAAAAAAAAAAAAAAAAAGACAAACCCAAAUCAAGGUUAUAGAAAUCAUAAAAUUGUAAAUGUUUUCAUUGAAUAAAUCAGCAAAAAAUUCAGAAAAGCAGUAAUAUUUCAGAAUUUAUUUUUAAAAUAUCAGUUUAUAUUAGGUAGGGCCCGUGUUUACACUGCAUGAUGAAUGGCUUAUUUUAGUAAGGCUGUAUUACUCCAGGAUAAAUGUAAGGAUGACCUAUGUAGACAAGGUCAAAAAUCUGGAUUUGAUGGUUUGGGGAAUGUAAGCCCAAACACGCCUGUUAGCCUCCCAUAAGUCUUGCCUUUUUCUGUGCAUUUAAGAUGCACUUCUUAAAGCUAAUAACAAAUUACAUUAGCUGUUUUAUGUCAGUACAUUCAUAUUUAUCUUCAUUUUUUAAACAGUGGUAUUUUAUUGUGUGAUAGAACCAAAGAUUAUUUUAUUCUUCCCUUUUAUGCAUAGCUGCUUAGAUUAUACUCUGGUUUUGGUUUUGCUGAUUCCAACGUCAUGAUAGUAAUUACACUUGUAUUGAUAUGAAAAAUGAUUUUAGGAUUUUGUUUUUAUAUCGGUAAAUUCUUCUCCAAAAGAAAGUUGUUCCAGUUUUACACUCACAUCACACAUGCAUAAGUGUAAGCAUCCAGAUCGAGGAAGCACCGAGAGCCCCCAACAAAUUUAACCCAAGGGGGUCCACACCAAGACACAUCAUUAAAAUGGCAAAAGUAGUGAUAAAGAAUUUUAAAAGCAGCAAAGGAAACAGUUACAUACAAGGGAAACCCCAUAGGGCUAUCAGCUGAUUUUUCAGCAGAAACUUUGCAGGCCAGAGGGAGUGGCAUGAUAUUCAAAGUACUGAAAGGAAGAAAAGCCACAAUCAAGAAUACCCAGCAAGGUUAUCCUUCAGAAUAAAGGAGAGAUAGGGUUUCCCAGACAAACAAAAGUUAAAGGAGUUCAUCACCACUGAACCAACCUUACAAGAAAUGUUAAAGGGACUUAUUUGAGUGGAAACAAAAGUUCAUAAUCAGGAGUAAGAAAGCUAUAAAAGGAAAAAAAUGCAUAGGUAAGUGCAAAUAUAUAAUGCAAGUAGUAGAUUAAUCACUUAUAAAACUAAUAUGGAAGUUAAAGCACAAAAGCAGUAAAUUCAAUUAUAUCUACAAAAGUCAGUCAAGGGAUCCACAAAAUAAAAAGAAGUAAAGUGUGACAUUAUAUACAUAAAAUAUGAUGGGGGAGUAAUAAAAUUUAGUGCUUUUAGAAUGGGCUCAAACUUAAGUGACCAUCAAUUAAUAUAGACUGCUAUACAUUAUAUAUGAAUCUAAUCUAACCACAAACUCAAAACCUAUAAUAGAUAUGCAAAAAUCAAGGAGAAAGGAAUCCAAGCACAAUAAAGGAAGCCAUCAAACCACAAGGGAAGAGAGAAGAAAGAGAAGAAGAAAGGAACAGAAGAACUACAAAAGCAACCAUAAUACAAGUAACAAAAUGGCACUCCCUGUGACCUGGAUCUUUCGUAAGGAAAGGAAGGCCCAUGUCAUGUCACUGAUGCUCCUUCUACAGUGUUGAUCACCAGGCUCAAGACAUGCCUUCCCCAGGCUGAGAGAGGUGAGGAAGCUGCAGGAGAAAAGUCUGAGGCUGGCAGAGGUUGGUUGACGAGGUCUGAGGACAGAAGCUGUCUCCGUGACAUCAAGGUGCAAGGCGAAGCAGCAGGAGCCGAUGUGGAAGCUGCCGCAGGUUCUCCAGAAGAUCCGGCUCAGAUGAUUCAUGAGGACGGCGACACUGAACAACAGGUUUACAACGUAGUGAAGCAGGCUCCGUUGGAAGAAGAUGCCACCUGGGACUUUCACAGCUACAGAGGCAAAGUCAACGCCUGGCUUCAAAGCUUCAAAGGACAGGCAGCUGGUGACUUCAAGUGAAGCCAGUGCUCAUUUACUAUUCUGGAAGGCCGAGGGCCCAUAAGGAUGAUGCUAAAUCCAUCCACUCUGCCUGUGCUCUGUACAUGGAACAACAAAGCCUGAAUGACCACACUUCUGCUCACUGAGUGUUGUAAGUCCACUGCUCGCUGACAGUGCACGGGUCACCCAUGAGCGCUGAUGGAGAUGGACGACGAGGUGAACGUGGUUUUUGUGCUUGCUCACACAGCAUCCAUUCUGCAGCCCAUGGGUCAAGGAGUCAUUUCAACUUUCAAGUCUUAUUAUUUAAGAAAUGCAUGUUGUAAGGCUAUGGCUGCCGCAGACAGGGAUUCCUCUGAUGGAUCUGGGCAAAGUAAAUUGAAACCUUCUGGAAAGGAGUCACCAUUCUAGGUGCCAUUAAGAUCAUUCGUGACUCACGGGAAGAGGUCAAAAUAGCAACAUGAACAGAAGUUUGGAAGAAUUCGAUCGCAGCCCCCACGGAGGACCGUGAGGGCUUCCGGACUGUGGUGGCGGAGGUGUCUGUGGGUGUGUGUCGGGGGGAACGGCGAGAGCCGGGACUGGAAGAGGAGCCUGGAUAUGGCACUGAAUUGCCGCCGUCUGGUGAGCAGACUUGAACGGAUGAGGAGUUGCUCCUUCCGGAUGAGCAAAGACUAUGGUUUCUUGAGGUGGGAGCUACUCCUGGUGGAGAUGCUGUGAAGAUGCUUGAAAUGACAACAGAGGGGUCAGAACAUGACAUAAACUCAGUCGAUAGAGCAGCGGCAGGGUUGGAGAGGCUUGACUCCAAUUUUGAAAGAAGUUUUGUUGUGAGUAAAGUGCUAUGAAACAGCAUCGCGGGCUGCAGGGAAAUCGGAAGACUCGAUCAACACGGCAGAUUUCAUUGUAUUAUUUUCAGGAAUUGCCGCAGCCACCCCGACCUUCAGCAACCACCGCCCUGAUCAGUCGGCAGCCACCGACAUAGGGACAAGACCCUCCACCGGCAAAAAGAUUAUGACUCGCUGGAAGCGUGGAUGAUGGUUAGCAUUUUUUAGCAAUAAGGUAUUUUUUAAUGAAUACAUCGUUUUGGACAUAAUGCUAUUGCACAUUUCAGUAGACUACAGUAUAGUGUAGACAUAACUUUGGAUGCACUGGGAAACCAAAUAAUUCAUUUGACUCUAUUGUGAUCGUCGCUUUAUCGGGGUGGUCUGGAAGCGAACCUGCAGUAUCUCCAAGGAAUGCCCGCUCAAGUUUGCAUGUGCACUGCGAGUUGUUUUAGGGUGGCAUUCUUUUCAAUUCGUGGCACUUUGUCCUCCUAACAGCGUUGCACGUUUUACUUGCAUUUAUUAUAUUGUAAGAUGCAGUCAUGUCGGAUGUGUGCAUUUACUUAUGUGUAACUAUUAAGGCUACAAGAUGUGUAUCUUCCGUUUUUAUAUUUUUGUAUAGAUUUAUAUGAGCAUGAAGAACCUUUUGAAAUGUACUCAUUAGUUGGAUUACCCAAGUCAUCUGAAUGGGAGGAGGCCACCAUGAAAUGAGGAGGAAUACAAAGGGGGAAGAUGAAAAAGCCCACUUCUAGGGAUGGCACUGGUGGGUUCGGUGCUCCCUCAUACCCAGUUAGCGCUUUCCAGGAUUAGACGACCAGAAACUUCUAAAGUGCCCACUCUUUUCAACGUGAUAAUUUUGUGGCUGUAUGAGUAUUUAUGUUAUUUCUAGGCAGAUGUUUCCAAGUAAGGAGAGUGAGGGGAAGUGGUAUCCACAUGCAGCCCUGUGUUUGGGUGCUCCCAAACACACUGAGGGCAGUCAGGCGUGGGCCUCCUUCUCACCUAUGGAUGGGGUGGGGGCGGGGGAUGGGUUAGAUCUGAGCGGCAAAUAGGUUCUAUGUCAUGUGUCACUGCAGGUCACAGGAGUAACCCUUCAGCCCCGUUUUCCUUCUCCAGUCCUUCCAGCAUAUCUAUAUUCCAGUCAUGGCGGGAUAACGUUAUAGAGGUCAUGCUCGGGGCUCUUGGUUUUUUCCAUCUCAAAGGUCUGUGUGUCCCCAGACUGGUAUGGCUGGACCCAAACUGGAAUCGCCUGAACGUCUGGGCACUUUCAGGGUCUCGGUGUUCUAGUAGAGUUCUGUGGGGGCACAACCCUCACGGCCUUGCUGUUUGUCUCUCUCCCACUUCCUUCCAGAGGCCCCGCCCUGUCCCUUCCCUUUCCUGGAAGACGCGAGUGUUUCCUGCCUCUGCUGUCCCUUCUGUGUGGGGCACUGUAUCUUCAGGAGGAGCCAGGAAUUUUUGUCAGUCAAGGUUCAGCUCACCUGUCCCUUUCCCAAGAGGACUUGAGCGCCCAUCCAAAGGAUUAGCCUCAUCAGUGUUUGUCAUGCUUACUCAUUUAAGGUAAGCUGCGUCAGAGGACGAAGCCGAUCCAGUCCAAAUGGCACUUGGCGCUCAAUAGGCACUUGAUACGUGUUUCAUUAGUGAUUGGUGUUCUUUCGUGCUUCUCUCCAGGGGAAGGUGCCACCUUUGAAGAGGUUGUUGGACAAUAUCAAACAAUACAAGGAAGGCCAUUAGGUACAAAAUACUCAUGUAUUUAUGAAUUCAUGACCAAAUUAAAUAUGAAACCUUA
Felis catus (domestic cat) is the source of this 6294-nucleotide long non-coding RNA. RefSeq lists it as uncharacterized. NCBI's taxonomy places the organism in Eukaryota, Metazoa, Chordata, Mammalia, Carnivora, Felidae. The record is from RefSeq and is a predicted model, not a curated record. The transcript is spliced from 3 exons.